This 496-nucleotide ribosomal RNA is filed under the name uncultured bacterium. Its description in RNAcentral is "partial 16S ribosomal RNA". It matches the Rfam family "Bacterial small subunit ribosomal RNA", at positions 28 to 506 of the family's 1533-position model. The record is from RNAcentral.
GAUGAACGCUGGCGGCGUGCCUAAUACAUGCAAGUCGAGCGAACGGACGAGAAGCUUGCUUCUCUGAUGUUAGCGGCGGACGGGUGAGUAACACGUGGAUAACCUACCUAUAAGACUGGGAUAACUUCGGGAAACCGGAGCUAAUACCGGAUGAUAUUUUGAACCGCAUGGUUCAAUAGUGAAAGACGGUCUUGCUGUCACUUAUAGAUGGAUCCGCGCUGCAUUAGCUAGUUGGUAAGGUAACGGCUUACCAAGGCAACGAUGCAUAGCCGACCUGAGAGGGUGAUCGGCCACACUGAAACUGAGACACGGGCCAGCCUCCUACGGAAGGCAGCAGUAGGGAAGCUUCCGCAAUGGGCGAAAGCCUGACGGAGCAACGCCGCGGGGGUGAUGAAGGUCUUCGGAUCGUAAAACUCUGUUAUUGGGGAAGAACAUAUGUGUAAGUAACUGUGCACAUCUUGAGGGUACCUAAUCAGAAGGCCACGGCUAACUACGU